CCUACGUGAGGCUGCAGUGGGGAAUAUUGCGCAAUGGGCGAAAGCCUGACGCAGCGACGCCGCGUGAGGGAUGAAGGUCUUCGGAUCGUAAACCUCUGUCAGCAGGGAAGAACGGUCACUGUGCUAAUCAGCAGUGAAUUGACGGUACCUGCAAAGGAAGCACCGGCUAACUCCGUGCCAGCAGCCGCGGUAAUACGGAGGGUGCGAGCGUUAAUCGGAAUUACUGGGCGUAAAGCGCUCGUAGGCGGUAUGUCAAGUCAAGGGUGAAAUCCCCGCGCGCAACGUGGGAACUGCCUUUGAAACUGGCAAACUGGAGUGUGUGAGAGGUUAGUGGAAGUCCAGGUGUAGGAGUGAAAUCCGUAGAUAUCUGGAGGAACAUCGGUGGCGAAGGCGACUAUCUGGCACAUAACUGACGCUGAGGAGCGAAAGCGUGGGUAGCAAACAGGAUUAGAUACCCUUGUAGUC
RNAcentral lists this ribosomal RNA (465 nucleotides) under uncultured bacterium. RNAcentral describes it as "partial 16S ribosomal RNA". It matches the Rfam family "Bacterial small subunit ribosomal RNA", at positions 338 to 795 of the family's 1533-position model. The record is from RNAcentral.